Molecule: long non-coding RNA, 2004 nt
Filed under: Homo sapiens (human)
Lineage: Eukaryota; Metazoa; Chordata; Mammalia; Primates; Hominidae
Description: HSALNT0148350
Rfam family: Y RNA (bases 333-441)
Source: RNAcentral
AAUGAAGCCAUUUUAAAAAGAUGCAGAAAUAGCAGUUACUAAAAUUUAUUAACCAUUUAUAACUAAAAAAGAAAAACUUAGCAAAUAUAACCUGAUAAAAAAUAUAUACAAAAAAUAUACAGCCAACAUUAUUCUGAUUAACUGUUAGAAGCAUUCUUUUAAAAAUUGGAAUCAAGGCAAGGAUGUUCACUACUUCUAUUCAGCAUUGCACUGGAGGUCCUGGCAAGGACACCACAAAAAAAAAAGUAAAAAGAUUUAAGAAAUGGAAAGGAAAAAAACAAAACUGUCAUUAUUUGCAGAUAAUACAACUGCAUAUAUAGAAUCUACAAAUUGGCUGGUCCAAGGUAGUGAGUUAUCUCAAUUGAUUGUUCACAGUCAGUUACAGAUCAAACUCCUUGUUCCACUCUUUCUCUCCUCACUAGUGUGUUGGACUAGUCUUAAAAAAAAAAAAAAAAAUCUACACACAUUAUUAGAAUAAUUGGAUAAAUAUUAAAAGUCAAUCACAUUUCUUAACACAAAUAUUUAGGAAGCAUAAUUUUUAAAAUAUACAUCAUUCUAGCAUCAAAAAAUAAAGAUAAUUAGAAAUCUAACAAUGUAUGUAAAACUAUAUGGAUAAUAUUAUAAAACUUUAUUGAAUACUUUUUUAAAAAUACUUAAAUAAAUGGAGAGAUAUAACAUGCUCACGAAUGGGAAUAGUUACUAUCAUAAAGAUUCAGUGCCACCGGGCGUGGUUCUCAGCACUUUAGGAGGCUGAGGCAGGCAGAUUGCUUGAACUCAGGAGCUCAAGACCAGCCUGGGCAAUAUGGUGAAACCUCAUCUCUACAAAAAAUACAAAAAUUGGCAGGGCAUGGUAGUGUGUGCCUGUAGUCCCAGUUACUAAUUAAAAUCCCAAAAGGAUUUUUUGAAGACUUCAAUAAACUUUUUAAAAUUUAUAGAGAAGGGCAAAAGUUCAAGAAAUAGCUGUAACACACUUAAAGAAGAUGAGUUAUCCAAACUCCUGACAGAUUAAAUAUGGAAAGUAAAACUUUUGUGUUUACAAGGAGAUACAGAACAUUGUCUCCAUUAUCUGAGAGUAUGGUUUAAUUUCUUAAAUAAUUCACAGAAAGCACUGACCACACAAGAAGAGGUUCAUCAAGACACUAUAAAGAAAAGUAAAAGCCAGGUGCAAUGGUUCACACCUGUACUUUGGGAGUCUAAGGCAGGAGGAUCACUUGAGCUCAGGAGUUCAAGACCACCCUGGGAAACACAGGGAAACAUCGUCUCUAUAAACAAAUUUAAAAAAAAAUCAGCUGGGUGUGGUGGUGUGCACCUGUAGUCCCAGCUAUUCGGUAGGCUAAGGCAAGAGGAUAGCUUUAGCCCAGGAGGUAGAGACUGCAGUGAACUGUGAUUGUGCCACUGCACUCCAGCCUGGGCAACAGUGAGACCCUGUCUCAAAAAAAAAAAAAAAAAAAGAAAGAGAGAGGAAAGAAAUGUAAAGACAGAAGCCACAAACAGAAAAGAUAAAUAUCUUUUAUAUACAUUUGCAACAUGUAUAGGUGCCAAUAGUAAAGGACUAAUAUACAGAAUAUAUAAAGAAUUAUAAUUCUCUUGGUUAAAAUUGAACACAUGUUUUGACUCCCUCCUAAAACCCCUCUAAAACUACAGUAAAUGAAUAUUUAAGAGAUAAACUCACAAGGAGAGUGAGAAGGAAGAGGCAAUGGCGACACAAUUUUGGAAGCUGGAAAAGAUGAUAAAUAAGUAGUAACUGACUUAGCAGAUCGGAGAAAGCUGAAUCUAAAGCAAGCAAUGGAAAAGCCAAGCCAUAAUUCAACUUAAAACUGUAGAAUUUUCAAAAGGCUCAGGAACUGGUAAUCCUAGUCUUCUCUGGAACUGAGGAUGGGACAGGGCCAAGGCAAAAAUAAGGAUUAUUUGAAAGCUGUUAAGAAGCAGUUAGGCCAGGUGAGGUGGCUCACGCCUGUAAUCCCAGUACUUUGGAAGGCUGAGGUGGGUGGACCACCUGAUGUC